AUUGAACGCUGGCGGCAGGCCUAACACAUGCAAGUCGAGCGAGAGGCGGACGGGUGAGUAAUGUAUGGGGACUGCCCGAUAGAGGGGGAUAACUACUGGAAACGGUGGCUAAUACCGCAUACUAUCGGAUCACCCAUAUGGGAUGAGCUAGUAGUUGGGGUAAAGGCUCACCUGGGAGAAGAUCUCUAGCUGGUCUGAACGGAUGACCAGCCACACUCGGACUGAAACACGUCCCCAACGCCUACGGAGGCGUCAGUGGGUAAUAUUGCACAAUGGGCGCAAUCCUGAUGCAGCCAUGCCGCGUGUAUGAAGAAGGCCUUAGUGUUGUAAAGUACUUUCAGCGGGGAGGCGUUACCCGCAUAAGAAGCACCGGCUAACUCCGUGCCAGCAGCCGCGGUAAUUC
Molecule: ribosomal RNA, 403 nt
Filed under: uncultured bacterium
Lineage: Bacteria
Description: partial 16S ribosomal RNA
Rfam family: Bacterial small subunit ribosomal RNA
Source: RNAcentral